RNAcentral lists this ribosomal RNA (531 nucleotides) under Streptococcus sp. W63. Its description in RNAcentral is "bacterial SSU rRNA". It matches the Rfam family "Bacterial small subunit ribosomal RNA", at positions 8 to 524 of the family's 1533-position model. Lineage: Bacteria; Bacillati; Bacillota; Bacilli; Lactobacillales; Streptococcaceae. The record is from RNAcentral.
AGAGUUUGAUCCUGGCUCAGGACGAACGGUGGCGGCGUGCUUAAUACAUGCAAGUAGAACGCUGAAGACUUUAGCUUGCUAGAGUUGGAAGAGUUGCGAACGGGUGAGUAACGCGUAGGUAACCUGCCUACUAGCGGGGGAUAACUAUUGGAAACGAUAGCUAAUACCGCAUAACAGUGUUUAACACAUGUUAGAUGCUUGAAAGAUGCAAUUGCAUCACUAGUAGAUGGCCCUGCGUUGUAUUAGCUAGUUGGUGGGGUAACGGCCUACCAAGGCGACGAUACAUAGCCGACCUGAGAGGGUGAUCGGCCACACUGGGACUGAGACACGGCCCAGACUCUACGGGAGGCAGCAGUAGGGAAUCUUCGGCAAUGGGGGCAACCCUGACCGAGCAACGCCGCGUGAGUGAAGAAGGUUUUCGGAUCGUAAAGCUCUGUUGAAGAGAAGAACGUGUGUGAGAGUGGAAAGUUCACACAGUGACGGUAACUUACCAGCAAGGGGCGGCUAAUACGUGCCAGCAGCCGCGGUAAU